UUUUUUUUUUUUUUUUUUUUAAUAAUUCACCAAAAUCUUAAUAAACUGUUUUGUCUGAACCACAGGGAGAAAUGAAAGGCUUUUCUAUGUAGUGACUCACUGGAUUAUUGAAAACAACUAUGUGGCUGUAACUGUUUGCCUUCCUGAUAUAUCUUUCUCCUCUGUUUUUAAUAACGAGAUCACUGUAGAGCUUUGAUGAAGAAUGAAAUUUCUUUCUUUUCCAGAUUUGAUUUUUUGACAGAAAUAUUUACGUGGGUUAGAGAAAUGCAUCUAAAAUGACACAGCUCAAGUCUACCAGGAUCAGAUUUUUACAUACACGAGUUGCAGAAAUCUGCCUGCCCAUCUUAAUUCUCAUAAUUUAUCCCCUUGUGUGUUUUUUCCUUCUGUGGAUCAGACAAUGAAUUUUUCCUCCCUUUUUGUGAAUAAGCCUCUCUCAGAAAUGAGACACAUGGCUUUAACUUCUGGGGGAAGCGUUGGCACCUCUGCCAAGGAAAGGGAUGUGAAUUGAUGGGCUGCUCUGCUCUGGAACAUUAAGCAGAUCACACUCCCACUGCAAAGUGCCAUUGUCAACAUUAAACCCUCUUGUUAAUAGCCCACUGGUUUGGGUUUUUUCUGUUUGUUUUCCUUUUCAAGUGUAUCUACAGUUAACUGCAAGGAAAAAACCCAAACUGCAGAACAGUGCCGAGAAGGGUCUCCCUCCUAAAUAGCCUCUCAGGUAGCUGCUGUAAGCUCUCCUCUCUCCAUAGGUAGGAAGCAGGAGUGUGGCUGUCUUAACCCAUCUCCAACACCAUUACAGACAGUAGAUGAUGUUUUUAAAAAAUGAAUUAUUUGCUAUGGGAUUCAGGAGGACAUUGUGUGUUUUGGUGCUGCUUGACAUGCUGACAAGCAGGGGAAAAAUGUUGCCCUGUAAACUUGGCUGUCUCUGUUGAUUGAGAGAUGUCUUAUGGAAAGGUACUAGUCAGUGUAAACCCCAGGAUACCCAACAAAGAGAGAUUUCAAUAAACAUAGAGAGCCAUUAAAGUAGCUCACCCUCUCUUCACAGGCUCAGGUGUAAAGAGAGAUGCUACCUAUGCAUUUCUGUUGAUCUCCAUGCUAAACAAAGCCACAAGCACAUGGAGCAAGUAGCAUUUCAGAUAUCACCAUGUUCCUUUCAAUUAGCCUGGAAAACCUGUCCAGGGCUGAGCCCUCUCCCACUGAAACUCCAGUUUAGCAUCACUGACACAGAGAGACAGAUAUUCCCUCCAUUGUGCAAUUUGGGGUGGAUUUUUUCCCCCCACUAUGCAGAACAGGUGAACAACUUUCUUCUUCUUAGGCAUUUACAAGACUUUUUAAAGAUCAAAGCAACCAAGCAACCAGGUAAAACAAACUGCACCUGCCAGCCCGUUGGACCACUGUAAAAUUCAGUGCUGGAAGGGACUUUCUCCAGAACAGUCUCCUGGCCUUCACAAGGCAUUCACCUUAGUCUUCCUAAUGACCUCUCUGCAUGUAGCUCUAUUGGCAGAGCAAGGCUUGGGGAGCCAUCAAGGGAAGGUGAUGGUACAAAUGUCCCCACCUUUGUAAAUAAAAUAUCUCACACAAUACAGGGCUGCCAAUGGUUGGUUUUCUGGCUCUCACACAUCUACUCCUCUUUUGGAGGAAGCUGAGAGUGCAAAGGGAGCAGAGCCUGCAAUGAAUCCAUCAGCUCAAAAGCAGGAUUCUAAACUGGAGAUAAUCCUUGUCUUCUCAAAACUUUAACCUAAGGGAGCACAAAAGGAAAAGUAAUCAUCUCUUGUUGGUCAAUCCCUUUGCUCAGUGUCGCAAAUAUCACAGAAAGAGAGGCCAUCAGCACGGUUUGCUUUAGAUCAGGAAUAACUCCUGUUCCAGCCAUUGCUGGGGGCUGUUAAGGCCUUCAGGUUUUUGAUGGAUUGAGGAAAGCCUUGACAAUGCAGACAACUGCAGUGAAAUAAGAGGCUGGCUCAAACAUUAAUGACCCACUGAUUCUAUGUGAGACAAAGAGAUGAUGGCACUGUCUGCCUUGGCAAGACCUCUCCCUUCACCGCCCUUGGUAGGCAUCCCUUCAGUGACUGCAAGGGGCAGAGCUGGUCCCUCAAAGUUUUCUUCCUUCCCCCCUACUCCCAACUCCCGUCCUUGUCAUAAAGAGUAGGAAUCAAAAACAAGCCUGUGGCUUUGCUAGCAUAGCAGAAGAAAAAUCAAUCUCCUUGUUGACCUGGUGAAAGAAAGGUGGAGUACCUGAAGUUCAGUUUUCCCAUCUCCAGAUGCCGCUUACACUGAUAGGCAAACUUUCACAGAAGAAGGAGAGUAAUCUGCAAGUGCUCUGCUGUAGUGUGGAUUCAUCUGUCCAAAAGCAGCAGAUAAAGGUGAAGGCAGCUCACUUCCACACUCACUCCCUAGUUUGCAUCUAGAGAAAGUUUUGAAAUUUGGGAAAGAAAAGAAGAUAAUUUGCAACCAUGAAAAAUGCGAUAAAACAAAGCAGUGUAGGGAAAGGGAAACUGAGCAAAGCAAAAAAAACUGGCACAUUUUUACCUGUUGAUGUUUCUGUCACCAAUGGGGCUUUUUAUUCUCUUCAAGCCAGGCAAAACCUGAGGUGUAACCUCUCCUCCAGGGCUCGAUAUCCAGAGGAGUCACCUCAGGGAGCACGUGGCAGAGGUGGCCGUGAUGCUGAGCUUUGGCUGGGAGUCCUCUCAGGAACACGACGGGUGUGGUGAGGCAUCACGGAGCUCUUGGCUGCAUCAGCUGCCCACCUGUGAUUGCAGGGAUGCUCAAUUGGCAAAGAGUCACCCUUCCAGCGGUGGGAUGCUUCAUAAACUGCUGGAAAGUCUGGGAAAGAGGUCACAAACACUGCUGGGAAGGUCUGGGAAACACCUCAAAAGAAAAGGAGAAAUGGGAAAGAAGAAUAGAAAAGAAAAAAGAAAAA
This 2914-nucleotide long non-coding RNA is filed under the name Taeniopygia guttata (zebra finch). RNAcentral describes it as "lncRNA (ENSTGUG00000023349.1)". Lineage: Eukaryota; Metazoa; Chordata; Aves; Passeriformes; Estrildidae. The record is from RNAcentral.